Molecule: small RNA, 144 nt
Filed under: uncultured Lawsonibacter sp.
Lineage: Bacteria; Bacillati; Bacillota; Clostridia; Eubacteriales; Oscillospiraceae
Description: M-box riboswitch (ykoK leader)
Rfam family: M-box riboswitch aptamer (ykoK leader)
About the family: M-box riboswitch, also know as ykoK leader is described as a metaloregulatory RNA that sense divalent metals and function as a genetic control element of genes related to divalent metal transport in bacteria. It was first reported upstream of the B.subtilis ykoK gene and genes with related functions in other bacteria.
Source: RNAcentral
CCCGGUAGGUAAGGCUACCACAGGGAUAUGGGCCGCUGCCGCAAAAGGAUGGAGACAUCCUGCGCUGGUUUGAACAGGGCCUGUCGAAUGCAAGGCAGGCUCUAACGUGGCUUCACCGCCCUGUGAUGCUAAAGCUCGGACGGC